UUGACGGUACCUACCCAGGAAGCCACGGCUAACUACGUGCCAGCAGCCGCGGUAAUACGUAGGUGGCAAGCGUUAUCCGGAAUUAUUGGGCGUAAAGCGCGCGCAGGUGGUUUCUUAAGUCUGAUGUGAAAGCCCACGGCUCAACCGUGGAGGGUCAUUGGAAACUGGGAGACUUGAGUGCAGAAGAGGAAAGUGGAAUUCCAUGUGUAGCGGUGAAAUGCGUAGAGAUAUGGAGGAACACCAGUGGCGAAGGCGGCUUUCUGGACUGUAACUGACACUGAGGCUCGAAGGCGUGGGGAGCAAACAGGAUUAGAUACCCUGGUAGUCCACGCCGUAAACGAUGAGUGCUAAGUGUUAGAGGGUUUCCGCCCUUUAGUGCUGAAGUUAACGCAUUAAGCACUCCGCCUGGGGAGUACGGCCGCAAGGCUGAAACUCAAAGGAAUUGACGGA
RNAcentral lists this ribosomal RNA (450 nucleotides) under uncultured bacterium. RNAcentral's name for it is "bacterial SSU rRNA". It matches the Rfam family "Bacterial small subunit ribosomal RNA", at positions 469 to 917 of the family's 1533-position model. The record is from RNAcentral.